UACGAAGGGGGCUAGCGUUGUUCGGAUUUACUGGGCGUAAAGGGCGCGUAGGCGGCAAUUCAAGUCAGCUGUGAAAUCUCCGGGCUUAACUCGGAACGGUCAGCUGAUACUGCUUUGCUAGAGUGCGGAAGGGGCAAUCGGAAUUCUCGGUGUAGCGGUGAAAUGCGUAGAUAUCGAGAGGAACACCAGUGGCGAAGGCGAGUCCCUGGACAACUCCUGACACUGAGGCACGAAAGCCUAGGGGAGCAAACAGG
This 254-nucleotide ribosomal RNA is filed under the name uncultured bacterium. RNAcentral describes it as "partial 16S ribosomal RNA". It matches the Rfam family "Bacterial small subunit ribosomal RNA", at positions 524 to 776 of the family's 1533-position model. The record is from RNAcentral.